GAUGAACGCUGGCGGCGUGCCUAAUACAUGCAAGUCGAGCGAACGGACGAGAAGCUUGCUUCUCUGAUGUUAGCGGCGGACGGGUGAGUAACACGUGGAUAACCUACCUAUAAGACUGGGAUAACUUCGGGAAACCGGAUCUAAUACCGGAUGAUAUUUUGAACCGCAUGGUUCAAAAGUGAAAGACGGUCUUGCUGUCACUUAUAGAUGGAUCCGCGCUGCAUUAGCUAGUUGGUAAGGUAACGGCUUACCAAGGCAACGAUGCAUAGCCGACCUGAGAGGGUGAUCAGCCACACUGGAACUGAGACACGGUCCAGACUCCUACGGGAGGCAGCAGUAGGGAAUCGUCCGCAAUGGGCGAAAGCCUGACGGAGCAGCGCCGCGUGAGUGAUGAAGGUCUUCGGAUCGUAAAACUCUGUUAUUAGGGAAGAACAUAUGUGUAAGUAACUGUGCACAUCUUGACGGUACCUAAUCAGAAAGCCACGGCUAACUACGUG
This 497-nucleotide ribosomal RNA is filed under the name uncultured bacterium. RNAcentral's name for it is "partial 16S ribosomal RNA". It matches the Rfam family "Bacterial small subunit ribosomal RNA", at positions 28 to 507 of the family's 1533-position model. The record is from RNAcentral.